RNAcentral lists this ribosomal RNA (208 nucleotides) under uncultured bacterium. Its description in RNAcentral is "partial 16S ribosomal RNA". It matches the Rfam family "Bacterial small subunit ribosomal RNA", at positions 568 to 774 of the family's 1533-position model. The record is from RNAcentral.
CGUGUAGGCGGGGCGGUGCGUCGGUCGCUGAAAUCCCCCGGCUCAACCGGGGAAGGGGCGCCGAUACGACCGGCCUGGAGCGACGUAGGGGGAACUGGAACUUCCGGUGGAGCGGUGAAAUGCGUUGAGAUCGGAAGGAACGCCCGUGGCGAAAGCGAGUUCCUGGACGUCGGCUGACGCUGAGACGCGAAAGCCAGGGGAGCGAACG